This 433-nucleotide ribosomal RNA is filed under the name uncultured bacterium. RNAcentral's name for it is "partial 16S ribosomal RNA". It matches the Rfam family "Bacterial small subunit ribosomal RNA", at positions 29 to 507 of the family's 1533-position model. The record is from RNAcentral.
AACGAACGCUGGCGGCAUGCCUAACACAUGCAAGUCGAACGAGACCUUCGGGUCUAGUGGCGCACGGGUGCGUAACGCGUGGGAAUCUGCCCUUGGGUUCGGAAUAACAGUUGGAAACGACUGCUAAUACCGGAUGAUGACGUAAGUCCAAAGAUUUAUCGCCCAGGGAUGAGCCCGCGUAGGAUUAGCUAGUUGGUGGGGUAAAGGCCUACCAAGGCGACGAUCCUUAGCUGGUCUGAGAGGAUGAUCAGCCACACUGGGACUGAGACACGGCCCAGACUCUUACGGGAGGGAGCAGUGGGGAAUAUUGCACAAUGGGCGAAAGCCUGAUCCAGCAAUGCCGCGUGAGUGAUGAAGUCCUUAGGGUUGUAAAGCUCUUUUACCCGGGAUGAUAAUGACAGUACCGGGAGAAUAAGCCCCGGCUAACUCCGUG